GAUGAACGCUAGCGGCGUGCCUAACACAUGCAAGUCGAACGUGAGAGGGUACUUGUAUCCUUGAAAGUGGCGGACGGGUGAGUAAGACGUAGGUGACCUGCCUUGAAGUGGGGGAUAACCAUUGGAAACGAUGGCUAAUACCGCAUAAGCUGGUGACGAUGGGAAUCGUUAUCAGGAAAGCUUUAGUGCUUUGAGAGGGGCCUACGGCCGAUUAGCUAGUUGGUGAGGUAAAGGCUUACCAAGGCGAUUAUCGGUAGCUGGUCUGAGAGGACGAUCAGCCACACGGGAACUGAGACACGGUCCCGACUCCUACGGGGGGCAGCAGUGAGGAAUAUUGGGCAAUGGGCGAAAGCCUGACCCAGCAACGCCGCGUGGAGGAUGAAGGCUUUAGGGUUGUAAACUCCUUUUGUGGGGAAAGAAUGGAUGGUACCCCAAGAAUAAGUCACGGCUAACUACGUG
Molecule: ribosomal RNA, 459 nt
Filed under: uncultured bacterium
Lineage: Bacteria
Description: bacterial SSU rRNA
Rfam family: Bacterial small subunit ribosomal RNA
Source: RNAcentral